This 494-nucleotide ribosomal RNA is filed under the name uncultured bacterium. RNAcentral describes it as "partial 16S ribosomal RNA". It matches the Rfam family "Bacterial small subunit ribosomal RNA", at positions 28 to 507 of the family's 1533-position model. The record is from RNAcentral.
GACGAACGCUGGCGGCGUGCUUAACACAUGCCAGUCGAACGGAAAGGCCUGCUUUCCCUUGUGGAUUGCGGGUACUCGAGUGGCGAACGGGUGAGUAACACGUGAGUGAUCUGCCCCCAACUUGGGUAUAAGCCUGGGAAACUGUGUCUAAUUCCCGAUAGGACUGCAGGGUGGUGCCUGUGGUGGAAACCGAUUUUCUAGUGGUUGGGGAUGAGCUCGCGGCCUAUCAGCUUGUUGGUGGGGUACUGGCCUACCAAGGCGGCGACGGGUAGCCGGCCUGGGAGGGUGGACGGCAGAAUUGGGACAGGGAUCCGACCCAGACUGGAGCGGGCGGCAGGAGAGGGGAGUAUAGGGCAGUGAGCGGGAGCCUGAUGCAGCGAGGCGGCGUGGGGGAUGACGGCCUUCGGGUUGUAAGCUCCUUUGGACGGAGAGGAAGCGACCUGGUUGGAAGGGUGGUGACGGUAGUGAUAGAAGAAGCACCGGCUAACUACGUG